UUUUUUUUUGGUUUUAAUGUUAAGGGUUUGUUUUACU
This 37-nucleotide small RNA is filed under the name Arabidopsis thaliana (thale cress). Its description in RNAcentral is "ATSL117540". The record is from RNAcentral. Lineage: Eukaryota; Viridiplantae; Streptophyta; Magnoliopsida; Brassicales; Brassicaceae.